RNAcentral lists this ribosomal RNA (253 nucleotides) under uncultured bacterium. RNAcentral describes it as "partial 16S ribosomal RNA". It matches the Rfam family "Bacterial small subunit ribosomal RNA", at positions 524 to 776 of the family's 1533-position model. The record is from RNAcentral.
UACGUAGGGGGCAAGCGUUGUCCGGAUUUAUUGGGCGUAAAGAGCGUGUAGGCGGCCGCACAGGUCCGUUGUGAAAACUGGAGGCUUAACCUUCAGACGUCGAUGGAAACCGUGCGGCUAGAGUCCGGAAGAGGAGAAUGGAAUUCCUGGUGUAGCGGUGAAAUGCGCAGAUAUCAGGAAGAACACCCGUGGCUAAGGCGGUUCUCUAGUACGGUACUGACGCUGAGACGCGAAAGCGUGGGAAGCGAACAGG